This is a small nucleolar RNA of Quercus robur (English oak), 105 nucleotides long. RefSeq annotates it as small nucleolar RNA Z107/R87. Lineage: Eukaryota; Viridiplantae; Streptophyta; Magnoliopsida; Fagales; Fagaceae. The transcript has a single exon. The record is from RefSeq and is a predicted model, not a curated record.
GAUCGCGGUGAUGACUCGGUAAAAUUCAAGCUCAACAGACCGGAAUGCAGGGCUUUCUCUUGCGAGAAAGUUUUGCGUGUCGAAUACCCGCUGAACUGAGCGAUC